UUGGAGGGCAAGUCUGGUGCCAGCAGCCGCGGUAAUUCCAGCUCCAAUAGCGUAUAUUAAAGUUGUUGCAGUUAAAAAGCUCGUAGUUGAACCUUGGGUCUGGCUGGCCGGUCCGCCUCACCGCGAGUACUGGUCCGGCUGAACCUUUCCUUCUGGGGAACCUCAUGGCCUUCACUGGCUGUGGGGGGAACCAGGACUUUUACUGUGAAAAAAUUAGAGUGUUCAAAGCAGGCCUUUGCUCGAAUACAUUAGCAUGGAAUAAUAGAAUAGGACGUGUGGUUCUAUUUUGUUGGUUUCUAGGACCGCCGUAAUGAUUAAUAGGGAUAGUCGGGGGCGUCAGUAUUCAGCUGUCAGAGGUGAAAUUCUUGGAUUUGCUGAAGACUAACUACUGCGAAAGCAUUCGCCAAGGAUGUUUUCAUUAAUCAGGGAACGAAAGUUAGGGGAUCGAAGACGAUCAGAUACCGUCGUAGUCUUAACCAUAAACUAUGCCGACUAGUGAUCGGACGGGAUUCUAUAAUGACCCGUUCGGCGCCUUACGGGAAAC
Molecule: ribosomal RNA, 544 nt
Filed under: uncultured Eurotiomycetes
Lineage: Eukaryota; Fungi; Ascomycota; Eurotiomycetes
Description: SSU rRNA
Rfam family: Eukaryotic small subunit ribosomal RNA
Source: RNAcentral